Long non-coding RNA from Homo sapiens (human), 319 nucleotides. RefSeq lists it as uncharacterized. The transcript has 3 exons. The record is from RefSeq and is a predicted model, not a curated record. NCBI's taxonomy places the organism in Eukaryota, Metazoa, Chordata, Mammalia, Primates, Hominidae.
AGACAGAUCAAGAUAUCCCAACAUUGUGAUUAUGUCAUCAAAUAUAUUUCAAGUUUUCAGUCAAGAUCUAGAUUGAGUGUUUGCAGGAGUCAUUUUUAUAUUGAAGACAGUUUUCUCCCACCUGAAGUCAAUGGAGCUGAUAAAACUUUCACUUAUUGCUUUGUACCCCAACUCUCCAAUCCACAGUACCUGUCAGUAGUUACCAAGCAACAGUGACAAACGUGUGCCUCCUAUACAUUGGCAUUCACUGCCGUUAUGCUGUAUUGUACGAUAUUGCUGCGUAUGUUUACAAUGUUGGCCGGAAUUUGGAAGCUGGUGA